Gasterosteus aculeatus aculeatus (three-spined stickleback) is the source of this 985-nucleotide long non-coding RNA. RefSeq lists it as uncharacterized. Lineage: Eukaryota; Metazoa; Chordata; Actinopteri; Perciformes; Gasterosteidae. The record is from RefSeq and is a predicted model, not a curated record.
CCCCCCCCACAUCUCCCCCAUCCUCCCCCAUCCUCCCCUCUCCAUUUUGUCUACUCUAAGAGCAGCUCUAUUCUCCUCUCCGUCCGCCACGUGAGGGACUAUUUGUUUGAUUCCAGCUCCCGGUCGGUCCUGGUCAACACAACAUCACAGGAGUGGAACUUGCUUUGACAACGACAUCUGUGGAGCAAGAAAACAGUGACGUUUUCACCAAAACAAGUCUGUAUACUCUGGCUCUACUUCCUGCUUCAGGGUCCCAUGAUUGAACAAAUAAACGGAAAGAAACGGUGGACUUUCAAAUCCAAUUCGCCGCUCUCGAAAGUAUCCGAUCUUGAUUUCCAGUUACUGAGGUAAUUUCCUUUUUAUAGUAUGGACAGGAACUAAAGACCAGCAGCUGCUUCGUUUCUCUGCUUCUUCUGCCGGCAAAAGACUAGAAAGCCUUCAAAUUAGUCCCAGAAAUACUGUAUCUGCCUGGUCUCGAGUCCGGUGGUUUGAAUCAAACUGUGACUUGUGAUGAGCUUGAUUUACGUCACACAUCAUUGACAGAAUCAUAUUAGGAUACUUAAAAAUUGAAGAAAUGUAGUCCAUGAAAAUAGAGUUUGACACACACGUCUUAUAUCACAGGGUGUUAUUUUCGGAAUGCUUACGAGAGAAACAAGAUGAUGUGGAACCGUGGGCCUUGGACUACAAAGUACAUGUUCUUUUUUUGUCAUAUAAAAAAAAAGCAAAUUUGCAGGCAAAUUGUUUACUUGCAGAGGGAAAAUCACAGAACUUUAUACACCUUUGGCUGGAGAUGAUUUUCCACUAACUGACUGGCUUACAAAUUAAAAGUAUACAGUUCACUCAGGAUUUUAAUUUUUUUUUCUUCACGGAUCUCAUGAAAUAAUUUGUGUUAGGAAUGUGUUUUUGGCGCUCCAAUGACUACAUUUCCCCUUGUGAUUGAGUCAAAGUGUGUGUUUGCGGUAAUAAAGGAACGUGUGCAGCAUGU